UGAUGCAGGAGGACUCAGGGUGAUGUAGGAGGACUCAGGGUGAUGCAGGAGGACUCAGGGUGAUGCAGAAGGACUCCAGAGGGCACGUGACCUAAGCCUUUAACUAGUCCUUCCCAGAAGGACUCAGGGAAGAUGCAGGGAGGACUCAGGGUGAUGCAGGAGGACUCAGGGGUGAUUCAGAGGAGGACUCAGGGGUGAUGCAGGAGGACUCAGGGGUGAUGUAGGAGGACUCAGGGUGAUUCAGAGGAGGACUCAGGGGUGAUGCAGGAGGACUCAGGGUGAUUCAGAGGAGGACUCAGGGGUGAUGCAGGAGGACUCAGGGGUGAUGCAGGAGGACUCAGGGUGAUUCAGAGGAGGACUCAGGGGUGAUUCAGAGGAGGACUCAGGGUGAUGCAGGAGGACUCAGGGGUGAUGCAGGAGGACUCAGGGGUGAUGCAGGAGGACUCAGAGUGAUUCAGAGGAGGACUCAGGGUGAUUCAGAGGAGGACUCAGGGGUGAUUCAGAGGAGGACUCAGGGUGAUGCAGGAGGACUCAGGGGUGAUACAGGAGGACUCAGGGGUGAUGCAGGAGGACUCAGGGUGAUGCAGGAGGACUCAGGGGUGAUGCAGGAGGAUUCAGGGGGAUGCAGGAGGACUCAGGGUGAUUUAGGGGCGGACACUGUGAGCCAUGCUGAGGAGCAGCAAUACCGUGAGAAGGUGUGCUGUGACCCAGCUCUGCCCUGUCCCCGCAGGUGGAGUGUCACUGGUGUGAGCCAGGAGCACAGCAGGGCUCUAGCAGCUGGUUGAGAUGCUGCCCACAGCAUGGCUGUCACCUGCUUUUGUGCCCCCAGUUUGUCUGGAUCCCUGCUCCAGAGCCGGUUGGAGGCCUUGGAGAGCUGAGGGGACCCGUUGCCCACUCUCUGCGCUGCCGGCAUCCUAACCUCUCCACGUGGAGGGCGGAGGUGGAGGCAGAGGCUCACUGCUGUCCUCCAGAGCCUGGGGAGCUGACUGAGGCUCAGGAUCCGGCCAGGAGAGGCCCCACACAGGACCCCAGUCCCCCCCCGAGCUCCUGGCAUCUCAGCAGCCAGCAGGUGGCUUGGAUUCAGCCCACUGAGGGUCCCAGCAGGACACUGGAGGGGCAGAUGAGAGGAAGCUGGCCCAGCAGACACUAUGUGCAGUGGCAGGGCAGAGCUGGACCGCUGGCCUGGGAGCGAGGGAGCAUCUGCAGGGCCGGCAGAGACCGGUUGUCCCUGGAAACCUCUCUGGAGGGGAGGUGCUAGCCGGCCAUCACCACGGCUCCUGUCCACUGUCCCGACAUUCCUCAGCUUUGUGGUGACCUGGAGAACUGCACGGUCCUCCCAAUCAACCUCACUGCCA
RNAcentral lists this long non-coding RNA (1355 nucleotides) under Marmota monax (woodchuck). Lineage: Eukaryota; Metazoa; Chordata; Mammalia; Rodentia; Sciuridae. The record is from RNAcentral.